GACGAACGCUGGCGGCGUGCUUAACACAUGCAAGUCGAACGGAAAGGCCCUGCUUUUGUGGGGUGCUCGAGUGGCGAACGGGUGAGUAAUACGUGAGUAGCCUUUCCUUGACUGUGGGCUUACUUCAGGUAACUGUGGUUAAUGCCGGAAAGGCGCUCCUGCUGCAUGGUGGGGGUUGGAAUGGUUCGGCGGUUGGGGAUGGACUCGCGGCUUAUCAGCUUGUUGGUGGGGUGGUGGCUUACCAAGGCUUUGGCGGGUAGCCGGCCUGGGAGGGUGACCGGCCACAUUGGGACUGAGAUACGGCCCAGACUCCUACGGGAGGCAGCAGUGGGGAAUAUUGCACAAUGGGCGGAAGCCUGAUGCAGCAACGCCGCGUGCGGGAUGACGGCCUUCGGGUUGUAAACCGCUUUCGCCUGUGACGAAGCGUGAGUGACGGUAAUGGGUAAAGAAGCACCGGCUAACUACGUG
Molecule: ribosomal RNA, 468 nt
Filed under: uncultured bacterium
Lineage: Bacteria
Description: partial 16S ribosomal RNA
Rfam family: Bacterial small subunit ribosomal RNA
Source: RNAcentral